UCCUUAGUUACAAAAAGUUCCUCCCAGGAAAUUUCCAGGCGUGCCCAUAAAUCUCCUCGCUGUUUGUUUGGGAGAACAGGGUUUUCUCGUCUGUAACAGAAUAGUCGUGGCAUUUGCUAUUGAAUGCUGGUGGCAAUCUAGUCAGAAGAGGACCCCGUGCUUCACUAAUUUUGCCUUUUUGUUGUUGGGGGUGACUUCUUCCCAGGGAUGUUCUUCUUGAUCCCCCGGGGCAAAGGGAGGUGUCAGCGUCAGGAGCCAUCCUAACUGGGGCCCUGGUAGGUGGUUGGUGUUUCUGCAGUGUUUGGCACAGGACUGGGGGAGAUUUUUACCCAGCUUUCUAAAGCUGUAGAUGAAUAGGAGAGACUGAAUGCACUCCCUUUAUUCACCUUUUCAGAGAGUAUCGGCCAGAAUACGAGCGCCUGAGAAAAACACUGGACAGUUCUCUGCAGGCACAGCUACACAGAGUUUGGCUUCCCGGCGCUGCUGAAAACGUCCUAGAAUCCCACCUGACUGGAGGUUGCUUUCCAUGCUUAGUCAGAAGUUCUGUGUAACCUGAGUUGAAAUGUAAGACCUGCGUAGUGACUUCUGCUCUCUGACUGGGGGACAGGCUGCUGGGUUUGGGUGAGGUUUCUCUUCUCCUGAUGUUUUAAAUGUUCUCAGAAUCCACAUGUAAAUCUUUGUCUACGGGAGAAAGCUCAAAAUAAACAAAAGAGAGAGCAGCUGGAACACUUGUGGAAGGACAUGGGCAGCGUGUGUGUGCAGGGCAGCACACUGGCAGGACCUGAUGCUUCUGCAAUGGGUCCCUCUGAGCUAAUACUAACAUGAGGAACUCUCGAUGAAGAGCAAGAAGAGAGGGAGAGUGACGCUGAUGGCAUUGACCACGAAGGUAAGGGAAUGAGGUCUAAAAGCUGCCUCUCAAGAAAUCCCCUCUAUAUUUCAUGUCCUGGAUGGACUGUAAGGAGAGCCUAGAAAACAAGCAAACAUUCAGUCACCUGACGUGUCAGAAUCUGUAGCAGAAGCUCAGCUGCAAUGGUCAGUGCAGGGAUAUCACUCUGUAACCUUUGUGAAAGUUCAAUUGUAAAUUUUCUAUUCAAGUAAUUAAUAGGUGUAUAACACACAUAAACCAGAGAACUCGUUAGGCUUGGGGCAUGCAGUGACCUCUGAACCUGAUUGAUGCACAGAUGUGUCCAUCAUCUUUUUGGCCUUACAGUUUCUGCCCCUGGCUCUCUUCCCUUUUCCUGUGACUGUGGUCUUGGAGCAAUCUUCUAAGUUGUUACAGUGUGAUUUUUCUCUUCUAUAGCUCACAGACUUAAUCUUCAUUCUUUCCCUGUUCCACUGAUGGGUAGGAUCACUUAUUUCCUUUGCCCUGUAAUGUAGCUGAAGAUGGAAUAGACUUUCUAUGUUGCUUUGGCUA
Long non-coding RNA from Pseudopipra pipra, 1414 nucleotides. RefSeq lists it as uncharacterized. The transcript has 5 exons. The record is from RefSeq and is a predicted model, not a curated record. NCBI's taxonomy places the organism in Eukaryota, Metazoa, Chordata, Aves, Passeriformes, Pipridae.